RNAcentral lists this ribosomal RNA (203 nucleotides) under uncultured bacterium. RNAcentral describes it as "partial 16S ribosomal RNA". It matches the Rfam family "Bacterial small subunit ribosomal RNA", at positions 1290 to 1500 of the family's 1533-position model. The record is from RNAcentral.
AGUUCAGAUUGCAGGCUGCAACUCGCCUGCAUGAAGUUGGAAUUGCUAGUAAUCGCGAAUCAGCCAUGGCGCGGUGAAUACGUUCCCGGGCCUUGUACACACCGCCCGUCAAGCCAUGGAAGCCGGGGGCGCUUGAAGUGCGUUGCCGCAAGGCGCGCCCUAGAGCGAAACCGGUGACUGGGGCUAAGUCGUAACAAGGUAUC